UAUGAUAGAGGCGCAGGAUUCAACAGUAGAUCCGACCGGGAGAACAAAGGAGUUCUCAGUUUUUUGGCGAACAGGCCGGGAAGAAAGGGGAGACUGCCGAAGGGCUUUUUUCAGCCAUAGGAAGAAGGCUCUGGGGUGCCGCAGAAUAUGCGGCAGACUGUCACUUGUUGUGGAGCGCUAUCUU
RNAcentral lists this non-coding RNA (184 nucleotides) under uncultured Blautia sp. RNAcentral describes it as "Lysine riboswitch". It matches the Rfam family "Lysine riboswitch aptamer". Rfam says of the family: Riboswitches are metabolite binding domains within certain messenger RNAs that serve as precision sensors for their corresponding targets. Allosteric rearrangement of mRNA structure is mediated by ligand binding, and this results in modulation of gene expression. Lineage: Bacteria; Bacillati; Bacillota; Clostridia; Lachnospirales; Lachnospiraceae. The record is from RNAcentral.